This 321-nucleotide ribosomal RNA is filed under the name Desulfovibrio sp. RNAcentral's name for it is "partial 16S ribosomal RNA". It matches the Rfam family "Bacterial small subunit ribosomal RNA", at positions 26 to 346 of the family's 1533-position model. Lineage: Bacteria; Pseudomonadati; Thermodesulfobacteriota; Desulfovibrionia; Desulfovibrionales; Desulfovibrionaceae. The record is from RNAcentral.
AGAUUGAMCGCUGGCGGCGUGCCUAACACAUGCAAGUCGAGCGAUGAAGGGAGCUUGCUCCCGGAUUAGCGGCGCACGGGUGAGUAACGCGKGGAUAAUCUACCCACGAGAUCGGGAUACCAGCUGGAAACGGCUGACAAUACCGGGUAAYAURCAAUUWAACUAUUGKGUCAAAGGCGGGGCAACCUGUCGCUUGUGGAUGAGUCCGCGUCUCAUUAGCUAGUUGGUAAGGUAAUGGCUUACCAAGGCAGUGAUGAGUAGCCGGCCUGAGAGGGUAAUCGGCCACACUGGGACUGAAACACGGCCCARACUCCUACGGGA